ACUGGACGGCUAGAGUGAGGUAGAGGGUGGUGGAAUUCCCGGUGUAGCGGUGAAACGCGUAGAGAUCGGGAGGAACAUCUGUGGCGAAGGCGGCCACCUGGACCAUCACUGACGCUGAGGCACGAAAGCGUGGGGAGCAAGCAGGAUUAGAUACCCUGGUAGUCCACGCCCUAAACGAUGCGAACUGGAUGUUGGCCACACUUAGGUGGUCAGUGUCGAAGCUAACGCGUUAAGUUCGCCGCCUGGGGAGUACGGUCGCAAGACUGAAACUCAAAGGAAUUGACGGGGGCCCGCACAAGCGGUGGAGUAUGUGGUUUAAUUCGAUGCAACGCGCAGAACCUUACCUGGCCUCGACAUGUCGCGAAUCCUGCAGAGAUGCGGGAGUGCCUUCGGGAAUGCGAACACAGGUGCUGCAUGGCUGUCGUCAGCACGUGUCGUGAGAUGUUGGGUUAAGUCCCGCAACGAGCGCAACCCUUGUCCUUAGUUGCCAGCACGUAAAGGUGGGAACUCUAGGGAGACUGCCGGUGACAAACCGGAGGAAGGUGGGGAUGACGUCAAGUCAUCAUGGCCCUUACGGCCAGGGCUACACACGUACUACAAUGGUAGGGACAGAGGGUUGCCAAGCCGCGAGGCGGAGCCAAUCCCCAAAACCCUAUCUCAGUCCGGAUCGCAGUCUGCAACUCGACUGCGUGAAGUCGGAAUCGCUAGUAAUCGCGGAUCAGCAAUGCCGCGGUGAAUACGUUCCCGGGCCUUGUACACGCCGCCCGUCACACCAUGGGAGUGGGUUGCUCCAGAAGUAGCUAGUCUAACCGCAAGGGGGACGGUUACCACGGAGUGAUUCAUGACUGGGGUGAAGUCGUAACAAGGUAACC
Molecule: ribosomal RNA, 872 nt
Filed under: uncultured Chiayiivirga sp.
Lineage: Bacteria; Pseudomonadati; Pseudomonadota; Gammaproteobacteria; Lysobacterales; Lysobacteraceae
Description: bacterial SSU rRNA
Rfam family: Bacterial small subunit ribosomal RNA
Source: RNAcentral